GGCGGUCUGGUUAAAAUGCAGAUUCUGAUUCAGCAGUUCUGGGGUGGGGCCUGAGAUUCUGCAUUUCUAACAAGUUC
Molecule: microRNA precursor, 77 nt
Filed under: Mustela putorius furo (domestic ferret)
Lineage: Eukaryota; Metazoa; Chordata; Mammalia; Carnivora; Mustelidae
Description: miRNA (ENSMPUG00000021173.1)
Source: RNAcentral